RNAcentral lists this ribosomal RNA (377 nucleotides) under Melomys capensis (Cape York Melomys). Its description in RNAcentral is "partial 16S ribosomal RNA". It matches the Rfam family "Archaeal large subunit ribosomal RNA", at positions 2005 to 2551 of the family's 2987-position model. The record is from RNAcentral. Lineage: Eukaryota; Metazoa; Chordata; Mammalia; Rodentia; Muridae.
CGGCCGCGGUAUCCUGACCGUGCAAAGGUAGCAUAAUCACUUGUUCCUUAAUUAGGGACUAGCAUGAAUGGNCAAACGAGGAUUCAACUGUCUCUUAUUUUCAANUCAGUGAAAUUGACCUUUCAGUGAAGANGCUGAAAUACUAAAAUAAGACGAGAAGACCCUAUGGAGCUUAAAUNNNNNNNNUAAUUUUACUCCCACCAGCCUAAUGGUACAAAACAAAAAUUUUAAACUCUAAAUUUCGGUUGGGGUGACCUCGGAGAACAAAAAAUCCUCCGAAUGAUUUUAACANAGACCAACAAGUCAAAGUAACCUAAAAAUCUAAUUGACCCAAAAAUCUUUGAUAAACGGACCAAGUUACCCUAGGGAUAACAGCG